AAACUUUCAACAACGGAUCUCUUGGUUCUCCCAUCGAUGAAGAACGCAGCGAAAUGCGAUAAGUAGUGUGAAUUGCAGAAUUCAGUGAAUCAUCGAAUCUUUGAACGCACAUUGCGCCCUCUGGUAUUCCGGAGGGCAUGCCUGUUCGAGCGUCAUUA
This 158-nucleotide ribosomal RNA is filed under the name Pyronemataceae sp. Its description in RNAcentral is "5.8S ribosomal RNA". It matches the Rfam family "5.8S ribosomal RNA". Rfam says of the family: 5.8S ribosomal RNA (5.8S rRNA) is a component of the large subunit of the eukaryotic ribosome. The record is from RNAcentral. Lineage: Eukaryota; Fungi; Ascomycota; Pezizomycetes; Pezizales; Pyronemataceae.